Molecule: non-coding RNA, 238 nt
Filed under: Erinaceus europaeus (western European hedgehog)
Lineage: Eukaryota; Metazoa; Chordata; Mammalia; Eulipotyphla; Erinaceidae
Description: Microsporidia small subunit ribosomal RNA
Rfam family: Eukaryotic small subunit ribosomal RNA
Source: Rfam by way of RNAcentral
CAGGGACUUAAUCAACGCAAGCUUAUGACCUGCAUUUACUGUAAAUUUACUGUGGCAGUGACCCAUUUGAACUCUGCCCUAAAGUUUCGAUGUUAGUUGCCAUGCCUACCAUGGGGGACCACGGGUGACUGGGAGUCAGGGUUUGAUUCCAGAGAGGGAGCCUGAGAAAUGGCUACCACAUCCAAGGAAGGCAGCAAGUGCGCAAAUACCCACUCCUGGCCUGGGGAGGAAAACCAGG